Molecule: ribosomal RNA, 258 nt
Filed under: uncultured bacterium
Lineage: Bacteria
Description: partial 16S ribosomal RNA
Rfam family: Bacterial small subunit ribosomal RNA
Source: RNAcentral
UUGGCGGACGGGUGAGUAACGCGUGGGAACCUGCCCUGUACAGGGGGAUAACACUUAGAAAUAGGUGCUAAUACCGCAUAAGCGCACAGUAUCGCAUGAUACAGUGUGAAAAACUCCGGUGGUACAGGAUAGACCCGCGUCUGAUUAGCUGGUUGGCGGGGUAACGGCCCACCAAGGCGACGAUCAGUAGCCGGCCUGAGAGGGUGAACGGCCACAUUGGGACUGAGACACGGCCCAAACUCCUACGGGAGGCAGCAG